GCUAUGUGAGAUUAAGUUAU
This 20-nucleotide unclassified non-coding RNA is filed under the name Severe acute respiratory syndrome coronavirus 2. RNAcentral's name for it is "Primer from Severe acute respiratory syndrome coronavirus 2 (PDB 7BV2, chain P)". Lineage: Riboviria; Orthornavirae; Pisuviricota; Pisoniviricetes; Nidovirales; Coronaviridae. RNAcentral also lists the same sequence under 1 other name. The record is from RNAcentral.